Molecule: long non-coding RNA, 480 nt
Organism: Gossypium arboreum
Lineage: Eukaryota; Viridiplantae; Streptophyta; Magnoliopsida; Malvales; Malvaceae
Exons: 4
Source: RefSeq, a predicted model, not a curated record
UGCUCCUCCUGCAACUAUUGGUUCAACUGAAGCUGCCAUUUAAUCUUCGAAUUAAUAUUUGUUACUGCUUCCUGCUCCUCCUACAACUAUUGGUUCAACUAAAGCUGCCAUUUAAUCUUCGAAUUAAUAUUUGGUACUAUCGAGCACCUGAAUUAAUAUUUGGUGCAACUAAAUACACCACGACCAUUGACAUCUGUUCUAGGAGAAACUAAAAGAUAAGAAGGCAGAGUAUGAAGCGACUGCUUCGACUGAUAGUUCUGUUAAUUUUGAGGAUAUUGAUAACAGAAUUAUUAAUGAAGUUUUGGGUCCUGAAAGGUAUGGUCGGGUUAGAUUUCAAGGAUCUGGUGUUAACCCGACCCAAUAUUUUGGAUCCACCUUGCACCAAUACAUGCCUUCCGGGAGUCAAAGUCAAGCUGAAGUUCAGAGGCUAAAAGAUCAGAUAGUUCAGAUACAAGCUAGCACAAAUGAGCAAAUUUCUCA